This 443-nucleotide ribosomal RNA is filed under the name uncultured bacterium. RNAcentral's name for it is "partial 16S ribosomal RNA". It matches the Rfam family "Bacterial small subunit ribosomal RNA", at positions 338 to 795 of the family's 1533-position model. The record is from RNAcentral.
CCUACGGGAGGCUGCAGUGGGGAAUAUUGGGCAAUGGGCGCAAGCCUGACCCAGCAACGCCGCGUGAAGGAAGAAGGCUUUCGGGUUGUAAACUUCUUUUCUCAGGGACGAAGAAAGUGACGGGACCGGAGGAAUAAGCCACGGCUAACUACGUGCCAGCAGCCGCGGUAAUACGUAGGUGGCAAGCGUUAGCCGGAUUUACUGGGUGUAAAGGGCGUGUAGGCGGGGAAGCAAGUCAGAUGUGAAAACCCCGGGCUCAACCUGUGGCCUGCAUUUGAAACUGUUUUUCUUGAGUACUGGAGAGGCAGGCGGAAUUCCUAGUGUAGCGGUGAAAUGCGUAGAUAUUAGGAGGAACACCAGUGGCGAAGGCGGUCUGCUGGACAGCAACUGACGCUGCGGCGCGAAAGCGUGGGGAGCAAACAGGAUUAGAUACCCGAGUAGUC